Molecule: ribosomal RNA, 468 nt
Filed under: uncultured Saprospiraceae bacterium
Lineage: Bacteria; Pseudomonadati; Bacteroidota; Saprospiria; Saprospirales; Saprospiraceae
Description: bacterial SSU rRNA
Rfam family: Bacterial small subunit ribosomal RNA
Source: RNAcentral
GAUGAACGCUAGCGGGAGGCUUAAUACAUGCAAGUCGAGGGGUAACAGCAGAGUUUACUUUGGCUGACGACCGGCGCACGGGUGAGUAACGCGUACACUACCUACCUUUAAGAGGGGGAUAGCCUCGGGAAACUGAGAUUAAUACCCCAUAAUAUCGAGAGAUUAAAGGCUUCGGCUGCUUAAAGAUGGGUGUGCGUCCUAUUAGCUAGUUGGUAAGGUAAUGGCUUACCAAGGCUACGAUAGGUAGGGGGCGUGAGAGCGUGACCCCCCACACGGGUACUGAGACACGGACCCGACUCCUACGGGAGGCAGCAGUAAGGAAUAUUGGACAAUGGGCGCAAGCCUGAUCCAGCCAUCCCGCGUGUAGGAUGACUGCCCUAUGGGUUGUAAACUACUUUUAGAAGGGAAGAAACCCUUGGAUUUAUCCGAGGCUGACGGUACCUUCAGAAUAAGCACCGGCUAACUCCG